RNAcentral lists this ribosomal RNA (394 nucleotides) under uncultured bacterium. RNAcentral describes it as "bacterial SSU rRNA". It matches the Rfam family "Bacterial small subunit ribosomal RNA", at positions 355 to 741 of the family's 1533-position model. The record is from RNAcentral.
UAGGGAAUAUUGGACAAUGGGGGCAACCAUGAUCCAGCCAUGCCGCGUGAGUGAAGAAGGCCCUCGGGUUGUAAAGCUCUUUUGUCCGGAAAGAAAAGCAUUCGGUGAAUACCCGGAUGUUCUGACGGUACCGGAAGAAUAAGCACCGGCUAACUUCGUGCCAGCAGCCGCGGUAAUACGAAGGGUGCAAGCGUUACUCGGAAUUACUGGGCGUAAAGCGUGCGUAGGUGGUUGUUUAAGUCUGAUGUGAAAGCCCUGGGCUCAACCUGGGAAUGGCAUUGGAAACUGGGCAGCUAGAGUGCGGUAGAGGGUAGUGGAAUUCCCGGUGUAGCAAUGAAAUGCGUCGAGAUCGGGAGGAACAUCUGUGGCGAAGGCGACUGCCUGGACCAGCACU